Molecule: long non-coding RNA, 2459 nt
Filed under: Delphinapterus leucas (beluga whale)
Lineage: Eukaryota; Metazoa; Chordata; Mammalia; Artiodactyla; Monodontidae
Description: lncRNA (ENSDLEG00000012679.1)
Source: RNAcentral
AUGCCUGGAAUCGAGUUGGGGCUGGGAAAUCCUGGAGCGGAGGAUUGGUUUGGUCACCUUGGACUACUCAGCGGUUCAGCAGGUGGGGUGAGGUGCACAGGGAUUCUGCCACGAAGGAUCCCAGCCCAGAUAGAGCAGCCUGCACAUCCAUGUGUCCCCGUCGGUUCUCCUUCUAGGCCCAGUCCACGUGGCCACCUGAGUCUCGGGAGGGACUGUCCUAUUAAUAAAGAAAUCCUUCUGCUGUGCUGUUUUGGGCACUUGGAUAAACCACUCUUCUGUUACUGGACAAAGCACAAUGAAAAGAGAGAAACUUACCCAAGGUUCCACUGAAAAGUACAUUUCAGGUAAGCAUUUUGUAAAUGUGGAUGGCUGACUCCAGUCUCUGGGCAACCCUUGGUUCUGAGCAUCACAGAUGGUGGCUCUGCUGAUUCUCAAAGCCUCUGAGUCAAGGAUGGGAUUCUCCCAUGUAGUCACCAAGGGGGGCUUCUGAGAUUGAAACUCCUAUAAAACCAUGUCAGUGGACAUCUAACCAGUAUCAUAAAAGAUUGAGAUUUCAUCCCCAAAUGGGGAUUUCUUUUCAUGUGAGUCUGGAAUGACUUCACCACCGAAGGCGAGUGACAACUGAGAACUGCCAGAAAAACCAUCCUAUUUCUGAACUACAUAGUGUGGCUUUUCAUGUCUACUUUCUAAACCCUAUGUGGUGUUUCAGUUCCAGAUUCCUGCUUGAGAAUUUCCUUGCCUGCUCUUGGUCCAGUAGACCUGGAGUAGGUGGGCUCCAGCCAGAAGCGCUCUGCAGAGGCCACGCUUUCUCCCAAACGCCCUUCCUUGAGGUUUAUGAGUGUGCCUGACAGAGGCUGUGUUCAUGGGUGAGGGUGAUCAGUGGCUUCUGAGACAGUGGUGAGCAAAGUGGCUGGUAUCAACACUAAAGAGUGACGGUUAUUCAGAGAGCUGGGCCAUCAAGGGGCUGCUGGGGUUUUGUUUUUGUUUUUAAAUAGUGAUCUGAGACCCCAAGGAUGUUUUCUUCUUCUUGACUUCUAGUGUAAUUCAGUCUACUGGGUGGAGCCACCACUUUCAAUAGCUGUCUUUCACUGUCGUUUGCAUUAAAAAAAAAAAAAUACUGCAACCCCAAAGCCUCAGUAAAAUUGGGAACCUGUUUAAAAUAAGAAAGCUAUUUAUAGAAGCCAUACCUAAAUAUGGCUGCAAGCAUACCUGCAGCCAUACAUAUUCUCUAGCCGCAUAGUGCACAGCAAACCUGAGCUCACACAGCAAAGGAACAAAGGACAAGAGUCCAUUCAACACAGAAAAUAAAUAUGCUGCAGAAGCGGGGUGUGACCGGGGGUCGGGGGGCAGUUCUCUGAACACAGCAAAGGUCUUUUUGCACAGCUGCAGUCACCUUUUGUUGUGGUGCCACUAGGGGCCCACGCUCUCCUGCAGGAGUGGCUCUGGGUUGGCUUCAGAAGAGCCAAGUGAUUUUUUAAGCUACAGUUGGGCUGAGUGACGGAGGUUCAGAAUCAGCCUCAGAUGGAAUGUUCCAGGCCUUUCGCAGGAAACACAUCAGCUACUCUCGAAACGCUGGUUCUAGCUGCAGGUGACAGUGGUGAUACCAGCAGAAGGCCAUCAGCUUGGCCAGUCUCCACGGUAUCCUGGGAAAGCUAAGCACUCAAACCAAGAUCCCAGACUGCUCUGGGUUCUUUUGUUAGUUUCUCUCAUGUGGUGGACUAGCUACACCUGAUUAUCCAAGAGGGUGGGUGGCUUUAAAGACAGGGUAAUUUGCCCUGGAACAACCUUUAGGCUGUGUGGCACCCUGUGAGGACAAGCACGAGGCUAGGAAGUCUCUGGGGGCCUGGCUAUUUCCGUUUUGGUGCUGAGCACUGUCAGGACCUUGCUCGAGGAGAUGCUAGAGACGUGGCUUUCUGCCACAGGCGGCUGCUCCCAGGAAAGACAGCACAAGAGGUCCAGCUUUUCUCUGCGCUAAUCUCUCUGGAAGGUUCUGUUCGCCAUGUCCCAAACCCCACUUAAAGUGACUGGGAGUGCCUAAGUCUCCUGUUUAAAUCAAAGCUCUAAAUCCAUCGCCAAAGUCAUUUCCUCCUGCCCCUGCCCCACGAGUCCUCUCUGCUGGUGCAUGGUGGGUGUGGGGUCUGAGCUGAACUUGGCCUGGGGUUCCUGACCCAUUCUCCAGCUCUCAGAACUGGUCAGACCAGGCUUGUGAACCACGAGAUAAAGCUUCGAGGUGGUGUGGCUUGCCUUAGUCACCAGGCUAGCUGGAGGGCUGGCUGGGCCCAACACUCAGACCCACAGUCACCCUGCCCGGCGCCCUCUCCCUUGUCCCCAGCCAAGGUGGGCUGCUUUGUCAGAUGUUCUACUCACUGUGAAAAGUACCUGGGACCUGACUGCCCUGUGAACAGGGCACAAAAAGGCCGUCAAAGGUGAGCCCUCUGUGGUGGGAGAAGAGGGCCACA